Pungitius pungitius (ninespine stickleback) is the source of this 266-nucleotide long non-coding RNA. RefSeq lists it as uncharacterized. Lineage: Eukaryota; Metazoa; Chordata; Actinopteri; Perciformes; Gasterosteidae. The transcript has 2 exons. The record is from RefSeq and is a predicted model, not a curated record.
GAGGGCUUUGCGUCUUUGGCGCGGCACCUGGGCCGCGUUUAUGCAGCUCACUUCUGUCGCUGUCGAGUUGCAGUCUGAGAGCCGGGCUGUGACAGGAAGAAGAUGUCCUGUCCACGUUUCUUUUGUUAAGAUGAAAAAGGAACUUAAGUGAAGGGUGGAGAGGCCCAGAACGCUUUCUGGAGGAAAAACAAAAUGAAACAAAGACGUCAAUGAACAGAAGAGGGAGGGAAACGUGAGCGAGUGAGACGAAAGCAGGAGAAAAAUGG